Molecule: ribosomal RNA, 472 nt
Filed under: uncultured archaeon
Lineage: Archaea
Description: bacterial SSU rRNA
Rfam family: Archaeal small subunit ribosomal RNA
Source: RNAcentral
UCCGGUUGAUCCUGCCAGAGGUCACUGCUAUCGGUAUUCGACUAAGCCAUGCGAGUCAAAUGUUCUUCGUGAACAUGGCGAACUGCUCAGUAACACGUGGAUAACCUGCCCUAAGGUUCGGCAUAACACCGGGAAACUGGUGAUAAUUCCGAAUGAACCAGAUAUGCUGGAAUGCUUUCUGGUUAAAAGCUUCGGUGCCUUAGGAUGGAUCUGCGGCCUAUCAGGUAGUAGUGGGUGUAAUGUACCUACUAGCCGACGACGGGUACGGGUUGUGAGAGCAAGAGCCCGGAGAUGGAUUCUGAGACAUGAGUCCAGGCCCUACGGGGCGCAGCAGGCGCGAAAACUUUACAAUGCGGGAAACCGCGAUAAGGGGAUACCGAGUGCCAGCAUUUAUGUUGGCUGUCCACAUGUCUAAAUCGCAUGUGUUAGCAAGGGCCGGGCAAGACCGGUGCCAGCCGCCGCGGUAACACCA